Molecule: long non-coding RNA, 490 nt
Organism: Alligator sinensis (Chinese alligator)
Lineage: Eukaryota; Metazoa; Chordata; Crocodylia; Alligatoridae
Exons: 4
Source: RefSeq, a predicted model, not a curated record
CCGGGGCCCUCGCCUCGCCUCGCCGCUGCCACCGCCUGCCCCAAGCCCAGCCCGCCCUUGUGCCUCCCCUGCGCACGGUCUCCCUCAGCCGCCGCCCCGGCUCCCCUCACGCGUCUCCCAGCGUCGCUGUGGGCACGAAGCGGCCAAGCGCUGUGGGAGGAGACGCGUGGCAGCGGGGUCCCGGGUGGCGGCUCCUGCCAGCGCGGGGGCGGGGGCGGCUGGGCCGGGGACGGCUGGAGGCUCUGGGCCCCCCUUGACUCCCUCGCCCCCCACAAAGUCAGGUGCAGUCAGGUAUCUGACUGAGGUGGUUGCUCUGAGUAUUACGAAUUAACAUGUAAAGGAAUGCAAAUUCUCCCUGUGGGGAAAAAAAGAAAAAGAAAAGGGCCACAGUUUGUGCUCCUGACUAUUGCCUGAAGACCUUUCAAUAGAAGAGAGAGAAGAACUUCUAAACAUUCGUCGCAGGAAAAAAGAACUAAUUGAUGAUAUUGAG